RNAcentral lists this long non-coding RNA (1876 nucleotides) under Homo sapiens (human). RNAcentral describes it as "HSALNT0184641". The record is from RNAcentral. Lineage: Eukaryota; Metazoa; Chordata; Mammalia; Primates; Hominidae.
GGGCUAUUGAAUUGAAUACAGGGCAGCCUAACAUUAAAAUUUAACCAGGCUAUUAUCCAAAGUGGGAAUCAAGAGUUGACCGAACUUUCCUGAAACUUGAUCAGGUCAAUCUUUAAAGAGCAGCCUUUCUUGGAAAAAUAAAGGGGAGCGGGGAGGGACUCAAGUCAUCAGCAAAAUAAAUGGUAGCCCCCAGAUUUUAGAGCUUAGCCAAGGGUUUGUCCAUCUGCAAAACAAGGUCUGGCACUACACCCCCACAGAAGAACAAAUUGCACAGCUUAUGGUUCAGAAGGCUGCACAGGAAGAGAUAGUACUCUCCAUUUACCAAAUGUUUUCUGACUCUUUCCGCUAAUCGGGAAUCUCCAUUAGAAAGUGACACCAGGUGUGUGUCACUGAGGUUCACCCACUCUCAGGCCUGCUGGUGCCUCCCAGACCCUUUGAUCCUCUGCUCCCAUUGUCUCCUGAAACCAAUCCUUUCCAUUUUGUAUUUUUCCUCCUAGAUCACCUGAUACUUCCAAGCAAGCAGGUGUUCUUUUCAGAAGCCAGAAGCUGAUAACCUGGGCUUUCUGAUCUAACCCCAGCCCAAAUUCAUUGCAAUGGAGGAAUUGGGGAGGAGAUUCUUCCUACUGAGAAGUGGGUGCCAACUCUCCCUUUCAAAUUUGUUCAUCAACAAACUAAAGGGGAUGCCAGAAAUGUCUGGAGCAAUGGAAGAACCACUGGAAUAAUGCUCCUGCCUGAUUGUAUCUACUUAACCCACUCUCCAAGAGCCAGAAUCAGAUUUCAACCGUAUGGAAUCAUCUACAAUGCAGCAGAUGGGUUUACAAGUCUCUUGGUCUCUUCAUGAAGAAGGCGCAGCAAUCGUGUCCCAAGUCCUUGAGGACUUCACAGGGUGUUCUAGUGUCCUGAGAAUAUACCUGCCUAAGGGACUCAUCAUUAAAAAGGAACAAAGAGGCCCUAACCCAACCUCAAAGAGAAGGAAAAGGACCUUUUUCUAAAUGGAAGAAUUCUUUUGUAAGAAACGAGGAAGAGUUAGAACAAGCAUCUGCAUAGCCUGGGAAGGGCCACUCUCUCCCAAGGCAUGCUGCCGCUUGCCUCUGAUGUCUGGACGCAAACAGCAGAUCCUCAAUCUGCUCCAGGGUGUUAGUGCCAACCCUGACCUAGUGAGCUUACUCCUUUCUCUUGGGCUUAGGCACAUCUUGAAAGGGGAGAUAGGGAUGACUCUGUGCAUCAGUCCCUCUGUCUGGUCCAGUGGACCUUGUCCUUAUGAUGGCCUGUGAAAAGAUCUUAGUUUCUGAGCAGUUAUGCAAGUUGCUCAAAGCCUUUGAGAUGUCCCCCAGAAGCUGAGUGUAGAAGCAGUUCCACCACCCAGCCUGCAUUAUCUACACAAGACAAUUAGGCAGGGCUCUGGGAACACUCUAAGGGCCAGGGAUUAGGGAGAGAAUCAACCUUGCAGCGCCACCGGUUUGGGGAGGUCAUCACCACACUGCCCUGCCUCUAUCUAAGGAGUGUCUGAGCCCUGGAAAAGCCGCACUCAUGGCUGUCCUGUGGAAUCCUGGAAAACACCAUCCAAACAGGAGAAAAAGCCUGAAAUGAGGGAGAGAGGUUUCCCUUCAGCCCUCUGAGGAAAGUAGAACACAGAAACCCUGGACUGAAGGGGCCCCCAAGUUGGCCUGUGCUAUCCCCAACUGCUCCUCUCUGGAUGCUUCCCACCCUUAGAUUAAACCUUGCUUAUUGACCCCAUAGAGGCUUCAUGUUCUCUCCCGGCUCCUCCCAAAUUGCCCACUGGAAUGUACGUGAUGAGGUCAUUUGUAGUAAGCUACAACUUUUGUGGUUACCCCUGGCAGGGCUAUUUAUACCAUGAUAGGAAAUAAAGUCUGUG